Molecule: ribosomal RNA, 371 nt
Filed under: uncultured bacterium
Lineage: Bacteria
Description: bacterial SSU rRNA
Rfam family: Bacterial small subunit ribosomal RNA
Source: RNAcentral
GUAGGGGGCAAGCGUUGCUCGGAUUUACUGGGUGUAAAGGGCGUGUAGGCGGCUUUGCAAGUCGAAAGUGAAAUGCUACGGCUCAACCGUAGUUCCGCGUUCGAAACUGCGAAGCUAGAGUUUUGUGGAGGGUGAUGGAACUCCCGGUGUAGCGGUGAAAUGCGUAGAGAUCGGGAAGAACACCAAAGGCGAAGGCAGUCAUCCAUGCAAGAACUGACGCUGAGGCGCGAAAGCGUGGGGAGCAAACAGGAUUAGAUACCCUGGUAGUCCACGCCGUAAACGAUGGGCACUAGGUGUAGGAGGUAUUGACCCCUUCUGUGCCGAAGCUAACGCAUUAAGUGCCCCGCCUGGGGAGUACGGCCGCAAGGCUA